RNAcentral lists this long non-coding RNA (3842 nucleotides) under Vitis vinifera (wine grape). Its description in RNAcentral is "long non-coding RNA (VVIN_LNC007689)". The record is from RNAcentral. Lineage: Eukaryota; Viridiplantae; Streptophyta; Magnoliopsida; Vitales; Vitaceae.
UAGGAUUUGAGAUCAUAUCGACAUCACCUUCAGAGGAGGAUCACUUGCUCAACAGAAGACUUGGAUCAACACACCAUUUAACCAUUUUUUGGAAUUUUUUUGCAACUGCAGUGCCAAAUUAGUUUCCUGACAUCCUGUUGUCAGUUCAAUCUGCACAUCACCAUUGGAACAAAACACAAAGGUGAGUUGUGAUGGCCUUAUUUUUAUUUUUUGAAUAAAAAAUCAAUAGCUUGGACGCAUACUAAUCAUGGAAAGAUGUUAGUGGAACACUUUGUUUAAUUUAAAAAGAACAAAUUGACGAGACUGCGAAUGACGGUCGGCCAUGGGAAUUCUUUGUUAAUGGCCUUUGUUGAACUUUAAAAAUCAACUGAAUGAGGAAUGAUGUGACCGACUAUGAGGGAUGUCAAUGGCUAGUGUUUGUUUGAGAUUUAAAAAUAAAAUGAAUGCAUGGUAGACAUGGAAGAGUGUCAAUGCUUUGUUUUAAUUCUUAAAAUCAGUGGAAUGAGAAUGAGUGUCGGCCAUGGUGAUUAGUUAAUGGUAUAUAUGUGAUUCAUGCUGACUAUGAGUGGUGUUAAUGGGCUGUGUUUAUUAAAUUAAAGAAAUCAAUGAGAUUGGAGAUUGAGUGGUAGCCAUGGAGGAUUGAUCUAGUGGUAUGUUUGUUGUUGAAUUAAAAAUUCAAAGUGGCCAACCAUAGAAGUUAAAUGGAAUGUAGUUUUUGAUGUUAAUAUGGAAUCUUGAAAUCAAUGCAAUCGGUCAUGAACAUGUGAAAUGUUAGUGUUUACUUAUGCGAAUAAAAAAAUUUCAAUGUAAAAUGGAAAUGGUAAUGUUAGUGGUUGUUUGUCUUAAUAAAAAAUCAAUGUGAAUAUGUUGUGAGAGAGAACUAAUGGCCUUUGUUGAAUCUUUUAAAAAAAUCAGUCAAAUUGGAUGGAAUUACAAAAUUGAAUUUAUGCAAAAUAAAAUGGGCUUUGGGUGGGGCCAAUAUCAAAGAAGUUUAAUUUGAAAUAAAAAAUGAACUUAAAUAAAAUGUCAUGUGUGCCAUUGAUAAUUUCGCAUUCAAUUUAGUGAGAUGUGAGACAUAUUUUAUAUUUAUUAAUUGUGUACUAACCUCUUCUCUUGAUAGCGCAUUGUGGCUCGUUGCCCAGGUACGCAUCCACUUUCAUUUUGGUCAUUCUAUAUUCAUGUUCUGAUCCCCAUAUGUGUAUGAUCGAUUUGAGUAUCCAUUGAUUUUCUUAUUGAUUGCCACGUUAGUUUCAUUUUAUUAGUAAAGACCCGACUUUAGGGACUUAGAGGGAUUUUACAGUCUUUACCGUACUUUCCCGAUAAGUAACCUGAUCACCAAGUAUGAUCCAGUUUUUCACAGACCACAUUUUCCAAAUAAGGAGUUACAUUUAGAGUUUUUCUUUCUUAUUUUGUUUACCCUUUUAAAAAUAAAACAAAAAUAAGUGGCGACUCAAAAUCAUUUCUACUAGAUAAAAUCAUUUUUCAAAUAAAAAGAGAGUUCGUCAUCGAGUGGAAGCGCAUGAGCCGAAGUUCGGGUCCAUAGUUCUAAUAUAAGGCUGCUGCAUAGGUCAAUAGAGCCAAGGGAAUUGAUUGAUAUGUGACAAAGUAGGGCAUUCUGAUUGCAUCCUUUCGGAGGAAGAAGAGUCCUUGGUAUAUUGGGAGGUUCAUGAAAACCAGAACCCCACAUGGAAGAAUCUGCAAUAAGAGAGAGAGUCUAUGACCUGAGCUUGCAUAUCCAUAAUCACCUUCAUUAUGCCUUCAACAACAGUGAACAGGUUGAGCAAAGCCAGUGUGGCUAAGAUGGUAAACAUUGGUGAAGGAGCACCGAACUCCAUGACUUCUUUCUCAAACUUCUUAGAUUCUUCUUCAUCAGCCACCUUGGAAGCGACUGCAAAGGAGGACUUGGAAAACCCUAACUGCUUCAAUAUGGUUUCUGAAAAGCCAAAGAAGUAGGAAGUUGUUCUUUUAAACACCCACAUCCUUUGAUCAUUCCACCAACCCAGGAGAGUGCUACCACACCAAAUAAACUCGCCCAAGCUGUAUGCACAGCUGCUGCUCAUGAGUCAUGACAUAUGCAAAGGGUAGGAUCCAUAGGCUUGAAAUCUGAAGGCACAAGAUGAUUAAUUUCUUAAUAAUUAAAGUAUGUAGCAUCUAUUUAAUAACUUGAGGCUUUUACCUUUGGAAGCAAGGAGAUACCUUUGAGGAGACGAAGCGAUGGUAUAGCGAAGUAGUAUAGAGUAGACAAGCAGUUUGGGGCCCACAACAAGAAGAGACAGUAGGAAAUUUGAAGUUUAAGGGGAAUCCCUUUAUGCCCAUAUGUGAAGGGACAGUAACUUGAAAGGAAUAUUUGAAAAUUAAUUACCAUCAGACUAUCUCUCAUGUUGUGUCAGUGAUUGCAGUAGAGUUGAAAAUUUGAAACAGAUUGAUUUCCAACCUCUGCAUUGUAUUGAUAGCCCUAAGGACAUCUUCCACUGGACAACCAUACUUCAAACCCAUCUGCAAAUGAAUAGAUAUGAAGUUACAUAUCUGUGUAUGUGACUUAAGGAGUGUGUGUGUGUGUGUGUGAGAGAGAGAGAGAGGAACCUCCUUUCUCCACUGAGUGUUACCUUCAUAGCUGCAAUUUGCAAGAACUUUGCAUGUUUCUUCUAGUACACUUGCACUUAAUUUCUUCUAUCUUUCUAUCAUUGUUUCUCGUUGUCUGCUCUCCCUCACAUUCCUUAUCAUACAUCUUCCCACAAAGAGUCUCCCUCCUGUGAAAGCACCCAGUGCCAACAUAGCAAGGCCCUCCAUUGCUAUCAAUACCUGCUAGCUGCACCUUGAUCAUAGAAAUUUUACACAGAAGAGUAGCAAGUAUACUAGAGUUGGCAAACGCCUUCAAAAUCCAUAGCUUUGCCAUCUCUCCCAUCAAUUAGUAUCUGUGAAAUUAGCAGAUGAUCAUUAAUAAGAUCAAACAUUCCAAGAAAAUGAAGAACUAUUCAUUCUCCUCUUUGUUACAUCCUUGUUUCCUCUGAUAGGCUUUGCCCAUCAUGAUAUAAGAUCCUAAGAUCUAUAUCUGAUAAUGAAAAGGAUAUGCUUGUAGAUCAGGUAUGAAUAAAACGAUACACUUGUUAAAUAGGAAAGACAGCGAGAAGUACUUGAAGAAUGGUUUAAUGAUUCCGUGGAUCAGAGACAAAGUCCCACUCUCCAAAUCCUUUGUACUGUUUGCGUAUUUCUUCUGAAAUUUGGCCCACCUUCAUAGCAGCUUCCAUCCGGUUUCUCAUAUUCUCAUAUAAUUUCUGUGACAAAUAAAUAAAUAAGUAAAAGAUAAGUUUUAGCCUUUAAAAUUGAAGUACAUGGGGGAUGGUGUAUACCCCACUUUUGUUCCCAAAUUUCAAACGAUAUUUCAAUCAAUGGUUUGAACUUUUCAAUCAUAGGAGGUUGUGGUCCAGUUGAAGAAAUUUGUCCCAAUUGAAACUGGACCAUAUUUUCUGUGGAGAGCUUGAAAUGGACUCUGGGCAAUGCAGGCAUUGCUGAAUAUGAGCCAAUCAAAAUUGACUGUGAUGUUCGGCUUGGUAUAUUCCUAAGAAUUUGUUUUGUUUACAGUACCUUCACUAGGAAAUGGGCAUUUUAUAUCUAAGCAUUUGGAAUCAUACAAUCUCAUUCUUUGAAUGAUGAUGCAGGACUCUCUUUAUAGAAAAAGAGAAAAUCAUCCAUUUUACCAUUGUUGCAGGACAAAGAACAGAAAGAUGUGAAAGAAGACAUGAAUAUAAAAUAAGCAAACUUUACCUUGAUGGAUGACCAUUCCUCAGCCUUUUGUGGAUCAUCAUCAUUUGGUUCAGGAGUAGAGCUUAAAUAAGCUUCUG